CCUACGGGAGGCAGCAGUGGGGGAUAUUGCACAAUGGGGGGAACCCUGAUGCAGCGACGCCGCGUGGGUGAAGAAGCGCCUCGGCGCGUAAAGCCCUGUCAGCAGGGAAGAAAAUGACGGUACCUGAAGAAGAAGCCCCGGCUAACUACGUGCCAGCAGCCGCGGUAAUACGUAGGGGGCAAGCGUUAUCCGGAUUUAUUGGGUUUAAAGGGUGCGUAGGCUGUGAGGUAAGUCAGCGGCGAAAUGCCCCCGCUCAACGGGGUGAAGUGCCAUUGAUACUGCCUUGCUGGAAUGCGGAUGCCGUGGGAGGAAUGUGUGGUGUAGCGGUGAAAUGCUUAGAUAUCACGAAGAACUCCGAUUGCGAAGGCAGCCUACUAAACUGCCACUGACAUUGAUGCUCGAAAGUGUGGGUAUCAAACAGGAUUAGAUACCCCUGUAGUC
RNAcentral lists this ribosomal RNA (441 nucleotides) under uncultured bacterium. RNAcentral describes it as "partial 16S ribosomal RNA". It matches the Rfam family "Bacterial small subunit ribosomal RNA", at positions 338 to 795 of the family's 1533-position model. The record is from RNAcentral.